GAGUAAAUAACGAGCGACCGGCUAGUGAAAAUAGUUAAAGACACCUCUGAACAAAUAGCAACUUAAUAUCUCGUUGUUGCCAGGUUUCCUGACUUAAAGGUGAUUGGAUCCUAGGACGAGGUGCUCUUCCCUAUACAUUGCUCGGUAGGUUUAAUGUGACACUAAGUGUUAUCAAUCGUGCCCAGAGUCACUCCGUUGACAGUAAAGGUCUAAUUAUGUGUAUAUGAACUCUUAAUGUGAAACAUUAAGAAUCAUUUGUUAAUCUAUUUAUGAAUAUAUUGGUGGAUGAUGCCAUUAUGAAUGUAUGAUUGGGUUUUA
RNAcentral lists this small RNA (318 nucleotides) under Theobroma cacao (cacao). RNAcentral's name for it is "sRNA Tc05v2_g010100". The record is from RNAcentral. Lineage: Eukaryota; Viridiplantae; Streptophyta; Magnoliopsida; Malvales; Malvaceae.